Molecule: small RNA, 424 nt
Filed under: Pongo abelii (Sumatran orangutan)
Lineage: Eukaryota; Metazoa; Chordata; Mammalia; Primates; Hominidae
Description: processed transcript
Source: RNAcentral
AAGCUUCAGAAAAUUGACGAGCAGUUGCUAGCAAUACAGAACAUUGCUGAAAACAUAGAGCAGGAUUUCCCCAAGCCUGAAAUGCUAGAUCUACAUUGUGAUAAGAUUGGACCAGUGGAUCACAUUGAAUUCUCUUCUGGCCCUGAAUUCAAAAAAACAUUAGCUUCAAAAACCAUUAGCAUUUCUGAAGAAGUGCGUUUUUUGACCCAUAUGGAUGAAGAAGAUCAAAGUGACAAAAAGGAGACUUCAGAACCUGAAUUUUCAAUAACAGAAAACUAUUCUGGUCAGAAAACUUGUGUGUUUCCUACUGCCGAUUCGGCUGUCAGCCUUUCCAGUUCCAGUGAUCAGAAUACUACUUCUCCUGUGUUUCAGUACACCCGUUCCAGAUGACUGGAUUGACUGAUAUUGCAGACAUUAUUGAUGA